AGCUUGCUAGAAGAUGACGAGUGGCGGACGGGUGAGUAAUGCUUGGGAACUUGCCUUUGCGAGGGGGAUAACAGUUGGAAACGACUGCUAAUACCGCAUAAUGUCUUCGGACCAAACGGGGCUUAGGCUCCGGCGCAAAGAGAGGCCCAAGUGAGAUUAGCUAGUUGGUAAGGUAACGGCUUACCAAGGCGACGAUCUCUAGCUGUUCUGAGAGGAAGAUCAGCCACACUGGGACUGAGACACGGCCCAGACUCCUACGGGAGGCAGCAGUGGGGAAUAUUGCACAAUGGGGGAAACCCUGAUGCAGCCAUGCCGCGUGUGUGAAGAAGGCCUUCGGGUUGUAAAGCACUUUCAGUUGUGAGGAAAAGUUAGUAGUUAAUACCUGCUAGCCGUGACGUUAACAACAGAAGAAGCACCGGCUAACUCCGUGCCAGCAGCCGCGGUAAUACGGAGGGUGCGAGCGUUAAUCGGAAUUACUGGGCGUAAAGCGCACGCA
Molecule: ribosomal RNA, 496 nt
Filed under: uncultured bacterium
Lineage: Bacteria
Description: bacterial SSU rRNA
Rfam family: Bacterial small subunit ribosomal RNA
Source: RNAcentral